GUUUUAAUAAUUUAAAUAAAAUAUUGGUCUUGUAAAUCAAAAAUAAGUUCUUCUUUUAAAACU
RNAcentral lists this transfer RNA (63 nucleotides) under Aplosonyx pictus. Its description in RNAcentral is "tRNA-Thr". The record is from RNAcentral. Lineage: Eukaryota; Metazoa; Arthropoda; Insecta; Coleoptera; Chrysomelidae.